Molecule: ribosomal RNA, 301 nt
Filed under: uncultured bacterium
Lineage: Bacteria
Description: partial 16S ribosomal RNA
Rfam family: Bacterial small subunit ribosomal RNA
Source: RNAcentral
CAGCAGCCACGGUAGUACGUAGGUGGCAAGCGUUGUCCGGAAUUAUUGGGCGUAAAGGGCUCGCAGGCGGUUUCUUAAGUCUGAUGUGAAAGCCCCUGGCUCAACCGGGGAGGGUCAUUGGAAACUGGGAAACUUGAGUGCAGAAGAGGAGAGUGGAAUUCCACGUGUAGCGGUGAAAUGCGUAGAGAUGUGGAGGAACACCAGUGGCGAAGGCGACUCUCUGGUCUGUAACUGACGCUGAGGAGCGAAAGCGUGGGGAGCGAACAGGAUUAGAUACCCGUGUAGUCCCUGUCUCUUAUAC